GACGAACGCUGGCGGCGUGCCUAAUACAUGCAAGUCGAACGCACUCUCGUUUAGAUUGAAGGAGCUUGCUCCUGAUUGAUAAACAUUUGAGUGAGUGGCGGACGGGUGAGUAACACGUGGGUAACCUGCCCUAAAGUGGGGGAUAACAUUUGGAAACAGAUGCUAAUACCGCAUAAAACCCAACACCGCAUGGUGUAGGGUUGAAAGAUGGUUUCGGCUAUCACUUUAGGAUGGACCCGCGGUGCAUUAGUUAGUUGGUGAGGUAAAGGCUCACCAAGACCGUGAUGCAUAGCCGACCUGAGAGGGUAAUCGGCCACACUGGGACUGAGACACGGCCCAGACUCCUACGGGAGGCAGCAGUAGGGAAUCUUCCACAAUGGACGAAAGUCUGAUGGAGCAACGCCGCGUGAGUGAAGAAGGUUUCGGAUCGUAAAACUCUGUUGUUGGAGAAGAAUGUAUCUGAUAGUAACUGAUCAGGUAGUGACGGUAUCCAACCAGAAAGCCACGG
Molecule: ribosomal RNA, 508 nt
Filed under: uncultured bacterium
Lineage: Bacteria
Description: bacterial SSU rRNA
Rfam family: Bacterial small subunit ribosomal RNA
Source: RNAcentral